AGAAAAAUCUGAUUGUGAUAUAUAAAUGAACUUAUGUAUUCAAUGUGAAAUAAUUUCAUUCAAUAUCCUCAGUCCUAUGCAAAAUUCAAGAUUAACCAUUUUGGUGAAGUAAUUGGAAACAGACCAUUCCCAUUUAAUAAUUGCUUACCCUACUUGGACCAUCCAGGCAUUCGAGUUUUGAAAGAAGAAAAAAAAAAAAUAGAGAGACUCCACUAUGAUUAUAAAUGGGAACUAACCCUCACUUACUUUAGUUAUUUAUUGACCUUUUCUAACAUCUGAUGUCUCACCUUUGUCCUAGCAUGGACUGGAAGGAAUCCUUCUGCCACCAACUAUUUUCUUCACAUGCUUCCCAGAAUUCCUGCUCCUGUGACCCUGACAUUCACCCUCAUGAAUGGGCUGGGUUUUCUAGCAUUUCCAUGUGUCUGCUUUUCAGAUCCUAGUACCCCAACCAAAAUGAUUUUCAAAUGUUUAAAUGCUUCAUUAUUUUAAGUUUCUAAUCCAGUGGUGAAAAAUAUAUGUGGAGAACCAAAUAAUGUUUUUCAAUGCUGUAGGGUUGUUACUAUCCAGACC
RNAcentral lists this long non-coding RNA (570 nucleotides) under Bos taurus (domestic cattle). RNAcentral describes it as "long non-coding RNA NONBTAT024154". Lineage: Eukaryota; Metazoa; Chordata; Mammalia; Artiodactyla; Bovidae. The record is from RNAcentral.